RNAcentral lists this ribosomal RNA (375 nucleotides) under uncultured organism. RNAcentral's name for it is "partial 16S ribosomal RNA". It matches the Rfam family "Bacterial small subunit ribosomal RNA", at positions 527 to 896 of the family's 1533-position model. The record is from RNAcentral.
GUAGGUGGCAAGCGUUGUCCGGAAUUAUUGGGCGUAAAGCGCGCGCAGGUGGGUUCUUUAAGUCUGAUGUGAAAGCCCCCGGGCUCAACCGGGGAGGGUCAUUGGAAACUGGGGAACUUGAGUGCAGGAGAGGAAAGUGGAAUUCCACGUGUAGCGGUGAAAUGCGUAGAUAUGUGGAGGAACACCAGUGGCGAAGGCGACUUUCUGGCCUGUAACUGACACUGAGGCGCGAAAGCGUGGGGAGCAAACAGGAUUAGGUACCCUGGUAGUCCACGCCGUAAACGAUGAGUGCUAAAUGUUGGGGGGGUUUCCGCCCCUCAGUGCUGCAGCUAACGCAUUAAGCACUCCGCCUGGGGAGUACGGUCGCAAAGACUG